Molecule: ribosomal RNA, 491 nt
Filed under: uncultured bacterium
Lineage: Bacteria
Description: partial 16S ribosomal RNA
Rfam family: Bacterial small subunit ribosomal RNA
Source: RNAcentral
AGUGAACGCUGGCGGUAGGCCUAACACAUGCAAGUCGAACGGCAGCACAGUAAGAGCUUGCUCUUACGGGUGGCGAGUGGCGGACGGGUGAGGAAUACAUCGGAAUCUACUUUUUCGUGGGGGAUAACGUAGGGAAACUUACGCUAAUACCGCAUACGACCUACGGGUGAAAGCAGGGGAUCUUCGGACCUUGCGCGAUUGAAUGAGCCGAUGUCGGAUUAGCUAGUUGGCGGGGUAAAGGCCCACCAAGGCGACGAUCCGUAGCUGGUCUGAGAGGAUGACAGGCCCAACUGGAACUGAGACACGGUCCAGACCCCUACGGGAGGCAGCAUGGGGGAAUAUUGGACAAUGGCGCAAGCCUGAUCCAGCCAUACCGCGUGGGUGAAGAAGGCCUUCGGGUUGUAAAGCCCUUUUGUUGGGAAAGAAAAGCAGCAGGUUAAUACCCCGCUGUUCUGACGGUACCCAAAGAAUAAGCACCGGCUAACUUCGUG